CCGCGGUGCAGCCCUGCCCAGCCGGGCCGUGCGGCCCUUGCAGCCGCCGCUCGCCGUGACCUUGGCCUUGGGCCAAGCCCGGGGAGCGGGGUGGGCUCCUGGGGGUCGCGGAGCAGCAGCGGACCGCCCCGCCCAGCGGCCCUGGCGAUAGCGGGUGUCCGUUCGCAGGGCGCCUUUCCCAGGCACCCAGUGACGGCAGCUGUCGUCAUCGCCACUCUGCAGAUGGGAAACUGAGGCCCGGAGGUCCCGCCGCUCCGGAGCGAGGAGCCGCCGGACCCCAGCGCCGCACCGCCGGGCGGACGCGCUCUGUGCCGAGCUCCCGGCGAUUGGGUCCGCUCCCACGGGGCUGGGAACAGAGGGGCAGAGGAUGCUUCCCCCGAGCCGCUGGCAGGAGUGCCCUUCCCCCUUCAGUCUGGAGCUCAGAGUUUGUGCGUCCCUGGGGGUGAAGGGGCGUCCACGCUGUGAUGGUCGCCUCUGCUCAGUCCUGGGGGCCAAGCCAGGGUCGGGGUGAUCGAGCAGGCCCUUUUACCAGGUGUCCCCAGUAAGUUAACUAAGUAACUUGAGAUGUGACUUCAGGGUGGAGGACCUGCACCCAGUGGCCACCUACCUGGUGACCUGACCCUUCCCAUCAUUAGGGGAUGGAGGCUGGCCCAGAAGCCGGGCACUGGGGUGGCGGCCGUGUGGGAGCUGCCUCUCCCACUUCCUCGAAGCAGGCACUGUCUGCUGUUCUUAGAUCUGAGUAUCCGUUAACUUUUGUCCUCUUUUCCCGUUCCUUUCUUCACUCCCUGCCCCAGAUUAGGAGUUCCUACUCUAUCACAGUAUGAAAGAAAAGUCACUUUUCACAUUGGACUCAAGCCGUUUUUGCAAAGUAAACUAAGAAGUGUCUUGGAGCCCUGAGUGAGUCUCCCAGUGCUGCUGCAGGGCUGGACUAGGGGAUUCCAGCCUGCAGUCUCUGAGGGCUCUGUAGGGUCUGAGGAAGAGAGUUGCCCUCUGGAAACGUCUCUUCUCUGCUGUUCGGGAAAAACCUUAUUAAGAUUUCCUCCAAAACACUCAUGCGCAGCAGGCAUGGUUCGGUUUUCAGCCCUCCCACAGGGCCAGCAGCUGAGGUUUUUCUGGAAGACUCCCUAUGCCUUUCUCUGGGGGAGGGGUGAUGCCACGGGCUGGAAGGAGAUGCCAGAGCCUCUGCUGGGACAGGAGCUUCGCUUCAGCCCCCACAGGCGUCUGCUGUGCCGCCCAGGCGGUGGCUGCUUCCUAAGC
RNAcentral lists this long non-coding RNA (1257 nucleotides) under Homo sapiens (human). RNAcentral describes it as "LHRI_LNC1455.1". The record is from RNAcentral. Lineage: Eukaryota; Metazoa; Chordata; Mammalia; Primates; Hominidae.